Molecule: ribosomal RNA, 253 nt
Filed under: uncultured bacterium
Lineage: Bacteria
Description: partial 16S ribosomal RNA
Rfam family: Bacterial small subunit ribosomal RNA
Source: RNAcentral
UACGGGGGGGGCAAGCGUUGUUCGGAAUUACUGGGCGUAAAGGGCUCGUAGGCGGCCAACUAAGUCAGACGUGAAAUCCCUCGGCUUAACCGGGGAACUGCGUCUGAUACUGGAUGGCUUGAAUCCGGGAGAGGGAUGCGGAAUUCCAGGUGUAGCGGUGAAAUGCGCAGAUAUCAGGAGGAACACCGGUGGCGAAGGCGGGUCUCUGGACCGAGACUGACGCUGAGGCGCGAAAGCGUGGGGAGCAAACAGG